Molecule: RNA transcript, 959 nt
Organism: Zea mays
Lineage: Eukaryota; Viridiplantae; Streptophyta; Magnoliopsida; Poales; Poaceae
Exons: 1
Source: RefSeq, marked validated
CCCUAUGGCCCUAUAUCUAAUAAAAGAGUUGCCGCAGCCGCGGGCCCCUCCCGAGUCCCCACACCUGAAAGUGGAAUCGAUCGCCUCCUUCAAGCUAGUCAUCCCACUCCGGCUAGAGAACACAGAUGAUCAGAGUCGGAAAACUGAAGUCCUGGCGGAUCCAAGUAACGACAUUCCAUGCCCUUUUCUGAUCUGCAGUUAACUGAGACGAAACUUUAGCAGGCAACCUGACAGGCCUGAGGAUAGUAUUCUGCUCACCGAGCACCACAGAGACCUUAUACGUGAGCAUCUUCGAGGAUCACAAGAUCUUGCCUCAUGUGUCACACCAGAACAACAGAUUUCAGUGGUAUAUCAUCCAUCAGCAAUACAUUGGUUAAACAAAUAUAUCAACGAGUACAACAACGCCCAGCCUUGGCUGUCCCUAAAGAGCAAAUAAACGAUGUAAAGAUAGACAUUCCAGCAGUCCCUAAAGGCAGACAACUCAAGACCAAAAUCUCGUCCUUGUCGUGCUCCUAAUCAGAAAGCUGCGUAAUCAAAAUCCACAAGCUACGUUUCGUGCUUCCUUGACUAUUAUCUUAUCUACACUACAGGGCAGACUAAUGCCAUGUACAGGAAAAAAAUGUGAAACGCAGCUGUCACCUGGGAGCUCUGGGUAUCACGGGACGCACUCGAUCAGCCACUCGAGGCUCUGCAUGAAACAGAUUGCAUAGAAUAAUGGAUGUAAGGUUAGCAAACCUGCAAACUGUAGCAUGCAUGAAUCUGAUUCAUGGCAACCAGUGUCUUUCCAAAAACAAAAGAGAAAAAAAGAAGAGGAGAAGCGUACCAUUAGGCAUUCUGGUAGAUCAUCGUCCUGCGUCCUCAUGUGAGUCUGCAUAUAUGUAAAGAGCUACUCAUUAGGCAUUUCCAGUCUAACUCGAAUCUGAGCAUGUAAAUUUGGAGUCUGAUAUCUGUUUUGAAGC